This 483-nucleotide unclassified non-coding RNA is filed under the name Hevea brasiliensis (rubber tree). The record is from RNAcentral. Lineage: Eukaryota; Viridiplantae; Streptophyta; Magnoliopsida; Malpighiales; Euphorbiaceae.
UUUUGUUUGAACUUUUUCCUACGAUAUACUAUGGGCUUUAAACUUCCAGGCAUGGCACUGAAAGUUGAAGGUCGUGGACCAUCUAGACUGUUUAAGGAACAAGGAUCACCAUCCUUUGAAUCAGAUUCCAUACAGACAUCAAUAGGAUAUUUAUCUUUUUCUGGACUCAUUUCUGACAAUUCAGCACCAGAACCCUGGUCGCAUGAAGCUCGUUUCGUGAUCUCAGAUGAGACAGAGGUUGCAAAAGAAGUUUCUUUGCAACCAGAAAGAUAACUUUUUAUCAGCAUAUCAAUUGAGCCACACACUAAUAUAAAAGAAUUAUGUUUCUCUUGCUUACGCGUACAUCCACCAAAAUGAUAUGCUCCUAUACAUCCAAUCAAAUGAAGUAUCAGAGCCUUUUUGUUGUUGUUGUACUCCCUUUGGUUGAAAGUGAAGAUGAAAAACCGCAGAAGAAACCAAGUGCGGCACUGGCGGAGAUGGAAG